Molecule: long non-coding RNA, 455 nt
Filed under: Solanum tuberosum (potato)
Lineage: Eukaryota; Viridiplantae; Streptophyta; Magnoliopsida; Solanales; Solanaceae
Description: long non-coding RNA (STUB_LNC008603)
Source: RNAcentral
GUCUCACAUCGGUGGUUAAUGAGAUGGGUGGACUCCUUAUAAGGCUUGGGCAAUCCUCCUCCCUUUGAGCUAGCUUUUGGGGUGUGAGUUAGGCCUAAGACCUAAUUUAACAUGGUAUCAGAGCAGGGCCCGUCUCACCCGAUGUUGGGACCCCCAAAAUCAAAAUUGCCCACGCACCAGAUGCUAAGCACUGGGCGUGAGGUGGGGUGUUAAAGAAUGACAAAAGUCCCACAUCGGUGGUUAAUGAGAUGGGUGGACUCCUUAACAUGGUAUCAGAGCAGGGCCUGUCUCAUCCGAUGUUGGGGCCCCCAAAAUCAAAAUUGCCCACGCACCAGAUGCUAAGCACUGGGCGUGAGGUGGGGUGUUAAAGAAUGACAAAAGUCCCACAUCGGUGGUUAAUGAGAUGGGUGGACUCCUUAUAAGGCUUGGGCAAUCCUCCUCCCUUUGAGCUAGCU